Chenopodium quinoa (quinoa) is the source of this 901-nucleotide long non-coding RNA. RefSeq lists it as uncharacterized. The transcript is spliced from 3 exons. Lineage: Eukaryota; Viridiplantae; Streptophyta; Magnoliopsida; Caryophyllales; Amaranthaceae. The record is from RefSeq and is a predicted model, not a curated record.
ACCAACCAACUUUGAACCCGGGUAAAUGUAUUCAAGACUCGAGAGGGGAUUGUUACGUGGGCAAAUUCUUACAGUGACCCGGUCCGGCUACCUCUAGCUUGUCCUGGUCCAAAUUGUUAGGCUUUUCUGAGUUUUCUUUCUUCUUCCUCCUAUUCUCAGUUCUCAUUGUUUAUUUUUCAUCUCAACUCCAACUCUCGCUUCUCGACCUCCAUGCCUCCUUCAAAAUAUCUCAAAUACUAUUUUCCUGCAAUAUUAUCUCUCAUCAAAAUUAAUUUGAAACUAGAUGAAUUUCAAUACCUACAUGCAAAUUAAAUCAAAACUCAGAUUUUUUUUUUAGCAUAAAAGAGGAAAAAGAAAUUCAACCCGAAAACCUCUUUCAAAUUCGAUUGAAUUAGGCAAUAUGUUUAUUGAUUAUGGUUAAUUGGAUGUUCUUCAUCCAAUUUGGGGCUGCUUGUUUGCAAUUAGAUGGAUAGACAUGGAGGUUGUCUGAGAGGAUGAUGGAGAACAAUGACGCCUGUUUCUUAUGCUGCCAACACCAAAUCAUUAAGGUAGCCAUGAGCCUUGUAGGAAUAUAUUGAGUUGAUGUCCACACAACCAAGCCACGAGUCCACGACGCCAUUAAUUAAGUUCAGAUCGUACUUGGAGCCUAGGAGAUAUAUGUGGGAAACUUACUACUCUCCUUUAUACUUUAUUAUUCCUCUCUUUUCUUAAUUUAUCAUAGAACAAGAUAGGUUUGGCUAUUAAGGAAUCCACCACCUUACAUUCUUGGUAAAAAAAGUAAAAUUCAUGGUUUGUGUUAUUUCAUUUGAAUUAUUUCAUAAUAAAUUACGAAAUUACUGUAAUAUUAUUAUGAAAGUUUAAUGUAUUACCUAUUAUAAAGUAAAAUUAAAGUUAAUUUGCA